CGUGCAAGCCUGGCCACCUUUACUCUCUGGAGCCCACAUCAAAGGCCAGAUAUGAUGAUUCACUCAGUAACCUCUGCUCUCAGAUAGGAGCCGCAGGAGAAGGAAGCAUGAAAGUCACAGCCCAGCUACCUAGAGUACACAGCGCAGCCACAGAAACAAGAGCGACCCGGUCUGCAUAAGGGAGAAAGGCACACAUGAGCGCGGGGUCUUACAGAGUCCAGAGCCAUCAAGACAACUCAAGAUCGGGGAUCAGAUCACACAUCAUGAAAGAUUGGAGUGUUUCUGGGGAGCUCAUAGUACUACAUAAGAUGGAACUUUGAGAAGUCUGGGUACUCCCUCUGACCCUUCUUCAGUGAGUAGGAAGGCCAUGCAGAGCAGAGGGGAUGGUAGAACUUGAGGAAAAUGAAAAGGUCCAGCUGCUGGGUUGUGGGGAAACCCUCAUGGGCUCCCUGGAUAUUUGGGGGCUUGUAGGUGUAGAGAUUGCUGAUGGGGGAGGGGAGAGAGCAUAAGAAGUUCCUCAGCCUCACCAGCCCUCCCUCAAUGCUGUGAACAUAUUUUUUCACAGCUACAGCCACAAGCCUCUUGUCGCCUGGGUUCAUUCUCUAGGUCUUAGAUCUCCAAAAACCCUAAGACGGUGUGUUCUUCUAAGUUGCCUAGACCCUGCAGACGAUCCUACCAACCAGACAAACGCACCCACUGGUGGAAUAGUGGCAAGACUGUCUAUGGGAGUAACCAACAGCUCUCCGCUGGAUCGGAGGCCUGUUCCACAGAAGGAAUUUACAUCUGGUGAAGAAGAGCUGACCCUGAUGGCAUGGGCAUUGGGGAGCUGGCUGUGCCCCUCCCCUGAAGCAGGCAGCUCCAGUGACCCAGACUGACCAGGUCAGUUACCACCCAUGCCCAUAGCCAGACCUUGGGUUGACCCAUGCUAACAUCUACCCCAUCUAGGACCUGCAAGAGUUCGGGAAAGGACUGGUCCUGUGGAAUUAUACCCACAGGAUCUCCACCAUUAGAAGCAGUCACAGGAUAUCCCGGAGGAGUUUCUGAGGAUGCAGUGAAGACCCAGUGAUGAUGGUGUACCAGAAACCAGAGGCCUUGGACCAGAGCAGUGAGUCAUUGCAAUGAACAACUAGUGAAGCUGAUUGGACAAAAGGGUGUGCUCUGUGACACACUGCCCCCAUCAGAGCAAAUGAGGAGGAGUUGGAGAGGUGGCAAAGAAGGAAAAGCAAAGAGGAAUUUUUUUGGUUGUUUUGUUCUUGUUUGGUUUGUUUGAUUGAUUUGUUUUGUUGUUGUGAACUUUCUUUGUGGGGGACACUGCAUGAGUGAGGGGGAAACAUGGGGGGUGGGGAGGUGAGCAGAACUAGGGUGCAUGA
Non-coding RNA from Myodes glareolus (Bank vole), 1370 nucleotides. The record is from RefSeq and is a predicted model, not a curated record. Lineage: Eukaryota; Metazoa; Chordata; Mammalia; Rodentia; Cricetidae.